CUGAGCUGGGCCUGGCACCCAGGAGCUCAGUGCUCUUGCAGGAGGUAGUCAUGGUGGACUCUGGUGGGGGACUAGGAGUCCCAGGAGAGUAGAGUUUAACAAGCCCUUACAGAGCAUUUGCUGUGUGGGCCCUGAGGAUGUGAACAGCCACGAGUAAGCUAAGUUCAGCCUGGAGAAAGUUUAGAGCUUCACACAACGUGCUUUGGGAACUCAGGGAAAGCGUUCAGUUCUCAGAAGGAGCCUUGCGGAUGGCCAAGGUGGGCCUCUGAGGGUAGGUCAGGCUUGACAGAAUAAGCAAGAGAGUGCCGUGGGCACAGGGAACAGCAAGAGCAGAGCUGGCAACCAGGCAGGAAGGGCAAGCAAGGGAGGGUGUGCGUUCACACCACAUCUGCACAAGGGGAAGGGGGGCACGCAGUGCAUCUCAUUGCCCGCAUCCAGGUUAGGUGAACUCAGCCUUCUGCUUGGCGAAAGCGUGAGAAAGACGGAGAACAAACGUUCAGCAGUGAUGGCAGCACCAUCGACAGACGGCAGGUUUUGCCUGGAAAGCAGUGAAGGAGCUGAAUCUCCAAUCUGGGUUAUAAGAUCAUCAUCAUCACCUUCAGCUGCCCAUCUGACUGUGGCUAUUACAGGAAAGUAAUCGAUUGUAAGGAUGGAAGUUGGUUGGAAUGAUGUGAGGAAGGGGCCAAGGAAUGCAGGCAACUUCUAAAAGCUGAAAAAGACAAGAAAAACAAUCUCCCUGCAGAGCCUCUGGAAGCAACCAAUCCAAAUGACACCUUGACUUUACUCCAGUGACUGAUUUUAGAUUUCUGGUUUACAGAAC
RNAcentral lists this long non-coding RNA (820 nucleotides) under Pan troglodytes (chimpanzee). Its description in RNAcentral is "long non-coding RNA NONPTRT003162". Lineage: Eukaryota; Metazoa; Chordata; Mammalia; Primates; Hominidae. The record is from RNAcentral.